Molecule: ribosomal RNA, 532 nt
Filed under: uncultured bacterium
Lineage: Bacteria
Description: bacterial LSU rRNA
Rfam family: Bacterial large subunit ribosomal RNA
Source: RNAcentral
GGUGGAUGCCUUGGCACCAGGAGCCGAUGAAGGACGUAGGAGCCUGCGAUAAGCCUCGGGGAGUUGGCAACCAAACUGUGAUCCGAGGAUUUCCGAAUGGGGAAACCCGGCUGGAUUCAUCUCCAGUCACCCACGCCUGAACACAUAGGGCGUGCGGAGGGAACGUGGGGAAGUGAAACAUCUCAGUACCCACAGGAAGAGAAAGCAACCGCGAUUCCGUUAGUAGUGGCGAGCGAAAGCGGAAGAGGCCAAACCGUGUACGUGUGAUAGCCGGCAGGCGUUGCGUGCGCGGGGUUGUGGGACCUAUCAGUCCGAACUGCCGUUCGGGCGGGGAGUCAAAAAUGCGCGUCAUAGUCGAAGGGUCUUGAAAGGCCCGGCACAGAGGGUGCCACCCCCGUAGACGAAAUGACGCACACUCCCGAUGGGGAUCCCAAGUAGUACGGGGCCCGAGAAAUCCCGUACGAAUCUGGGGGGACCACCCCCUAAGCCUAAAUACUCCCUGGUGACCGAUAGCGGAACAGUACCGUGAGGG